RNAcentral lists this long non-coding RNA (669 nucleotides) under Trifolium pratense (red clover). RNAcentral describes it as "long non-coding RNA (TPRA_LNC009235)". The record is from RNAcentral. Lineage: Eukaryota; Viridiplantae; Streptophyta; Magnoliopsida; Fabales; Fabaceae.
UUUAGUAAACAAAAAAGUCAACGUAAAUCUAACUUAAUCCAACAAACCAUGACAUUGAAACAAAAUUAAGAUCCUAUACACUUUUAGUCCCACCUGGCCUAACANNNNNUUCUCAUAUCAAAUCUGAAAGUCCAUUGUUUGAGAAAAUUUCAACAAAAAAAAAAAAGAUCUCAUUGUCUUUAAUGUAUUUCCAAUCAAAAGUAGUAGUCUAACAUAACUACCUUUCACGUAUAAAGGGCUCAAAUUCUCAAUUAGUUAGAACUAUCAUUGAUUGAGAACAUGGUUUGUUGAGAAUAAUCACAGACUUGAGCAAAAAGUGAAGUUAAAGAUUUAGAAUUUCAAAUUUAUGAAGCAGCUAAAAUCAUACAUGAAUAUAAGCAUUGAAAACCAUUUACCUCAUUAAUAUUAAUAUAUGCCGUAACCAUAUGAAAACUUCUUGUGACAGUCUUUGUCAACUCAAACAUUAGUAAAAGAAAGUGAAUAUAAAAUAACAAUAGUAAAAGAAAGAAAGUAAAUGACCUCACAACGAUCUUCACCAUUUAUAUAGCACUAAAGUGUUUUAUUUUAUAUCACAGAGUUUUAUAAAGCACAAAAUGCAUAUAUUCAUAAAUAUUAAACCAAAAAUUAACAAAUCUCAUAUUCACAAACAAAACCAUCACCCCANNNNNN